GAUGAACGCUGGCGGCGUGCCUAAUACAUGCAAGUCGAGCGAACGGACGAGAAGCUUGCUUCUCUGAUGUUAGCGGCGGACGGGUGAGUAACACGUGGAUAACCUACCUAUAAGACUGGGAUAACUUCGGGAAACCGGAGCUAAUACCGGAUAAUAUUUUGAACCGCAUGGUUCAAAAGUGAAAGACGGUCUUGCUGUCACUUAUAGAUGGAUCAGCGCUGCAUUAGCUAGUUGGUAAGGUAACGGCUUACCAAGGCAACGAUGCAUAGCCGACCUGAGAGGGAGAUCGGACAGACUGGAACUGAGACACGGUCCAGACACCUACGGGAGGACGCAGUCGGGAAUCUUCCGCAAUGGGCGAAAGCCUGACGGAGCAACGCCGCGUGAGUGAUGAAGGUCUUCGGAUCGUAAAACUCUGUUAUUAGUGAAGAACAUAUGUGUAAGUAACUGUGCACAUCUUGACGGUACCUAAUCAGAAAGCCACGGCUAACUACGUG
RNAcentral lists this ribosomal RNA (497 nucleotides) under uncultured bacterium. RNAcentral describes it as "partial 16S ribosomal RNA". It matches the Rfam family "Bacterial small subunit ribosomal RNA", at positions 28 to 507 of the family's 1533-position model. The record is from RNAcentral.